Molecule: non-coding RNA, 113 nt
Organism: Acanthosepion pharaonis
Lineage: Eukaryota; Metazoa; Mollusca; Cephalopoda; Sepiida; Sepiidae
Source: the annotation of a GenBank genome assembly
UAUGGCCACAUCAUGUUGACACACCAGGUCCUGUACAAUCACUAAAGUUAAGAAAUGUUGAACCUGGUCAGUACCUAGAUGAGUGACCAUUUGGGAAUAGCAAGUGCUGUAAG